This 1306-nucleotide long non-coding RNA is filed under the name Fukomys damarensis (Damara mole-rat). RNAcentral describes it as "lncRNA (ENSFDAG00000033478.1)". The record is from RNAcentral. Lineage: Eukaryota; Metazoa; Chordata; Mammalia; Rodentia; Bathyergidae.
ACAAUAAUAAGCUGCUUUGGUGGCUUUAGCUUUACCUCACGAUGAUGCCCUGUUUCCUCUCUGCAGUCCUGUCAGGGCACAAAAGCUGCCCUUCUGCUCUGCCUUUCACAGGAUUUCCUGCGCCCUUCAUCUCAUGCCGCCAUUUCUCCUCACUUGACUCCACACAGUUACUUCCAAAUAUCCUCUCCUUCGGAGGCCAGAUCUGGCAAACAAUGUGAAGUCACCGUGAUGAUCCUUGAAAGCCGUCGGAAACAAAUGGCUCGUCCCCCCGGGGAUCUCAGAUGUCCCACACCGUGGACUUUGAAGGGCAAGGGGGUUACCGUAACAGAUGAGCAUCCCCGUUUCCACAGCUCUUGGGCUGGUUCCAUUGGAUCCACCCAGCAGGUAGUAUUGAAACUACAGAGCCCUUGAAUGAAACCUGAACAGCAAAAUUAAAGAGAAGAAAUUGUCACAAAGUCGUGUGGUUUGGUUCCCAAGAAAUGAGGGCUUCAAAAAUUAAGCAGAAUAAUAAAUAUAGUUAUUAGAAAAUUAAAUUACUUAGAAUUGGGGAAAACAGAUGCGUAGAGACCUGGUCAAGAGACGAGCUGCACUUGGAUAACCGUAAGUUUCAGAGCUUUCAUAUUUUACAUUCGUACACUCUGUUUGGAUUAGGGGGAUUUGGGGUUCCUAUGCAUUAAAAGUUUCGCUGUUUUUCCGUAAGAUUAACACAUGACUCAUUGUACAAACUUAGGAAAUGAAGACGAUAAGAGAAUAAAAUAUUUAAACCAUUAUGCCCAAUGCAAAAUUAAUUGUGGUAAACUUUUUGGUGCGUUUCCUUCUAUUCUUUAAAAACAACAUGCUUGAUCAUAUUACAGAUAUAUCUGCAAUUUUUAACUUGAUCUACAAGCAUUUUCCACUCUUCCAUACUGGGUAUGGGUAAAAAGCAAAUCCUUUGCUUCUUGAUUCAUAUGAAAGUGUCUACUCCUCAUCGACUCACACAAAAUGAAUGAAUGGACUUCCUCACUUAUUUCUUGGGAAACGGUGUUUAACUUCUACACAGCAAUCUUCUUGUUAUGUUAGUCAAUUAGCACCCUUUAAUGCACAACUGUACUUCAAAGUGUUUUCAGCACAGAUGACUCUUUUUUUUUUUUUUUUGCAAGGUUUUAAUAACCCAGAGGGUAGAUAAUUCCACAUAUUUUUUUCCUCAUUGAGUUUAUUGGUACAUUUUAGGUAUACAGUACAAUUACUUUCAUUAUUGGGCUCUUGUACCUAUACAUGACAGGUCUUGGUUCUCAUUUUUUCCCCUUGUCCCUGCCCUCCCUUCACC